Suricata suricatta (meerkat) is the source of this 164-nucleotide small nuclear RNA. Its record names the gene U1. It matches the Rfam family "U1 spliceosomal RNA". Rfam says of the family: U1 is a small nuclear RNA (snRNA) component of the spliceosome (involved in pre-mRNA splicing). Its 5' end forms complementary base pairs with the 5' splice junction, thus defining the 5' donor site of an intron. The record is from Ensembl. Lineage: Eukaryota; Metazoa; Chordata; Mammalia; Carnivora; Herpestidae.
AUACUUAUCUGGCAUGGGAGAUGCCAAGAUCACGAAGGUGGUUUUCCCAGGGCGAGGCUUAUUCAUUGCACUCUGAAUGUGCUAUCCCCUGUGAUUUCCCCAAAUGUGGGAAACUCGACUGUAUAAUUUGUGAUAGUGGGUGACUGAGUUUAUGCUUUCCCCUU